This 468-nucleotide ribosomal RNA is filed under the name uncultured bacterium. Its description in RNAcentral is "partial 16S ribosomal RNA". It matches the Rfam family "Bacterial small subunit ribosomal RNA", at positions 28 to 507 of the family's 1533-position model. The record is from RNAcentral.
GACGAACGCUGGCGGCGUGCUUAACACAUGCAAGUCGAACGGAAAGGCCCUGCUUUUGUGGGUUGCUCGAGUGGCGAACGGGUGUGUAUCACGUGUGUAACCUCCCCUUGACUUUGUGAUAACUUCUGGAAACUGGGGCUAAUACCGGAUAUGAUCUCCUGCUGCAUGUUGGUGGUUGGAAAGUUUCGGCGGUUGUGGAUGGACUCGCUGCUUAUCAGCUUGUUGGUGGAGUAGUUGCUUUCCAAGGCUUUGACGGGUAGCCGGCCUGAGAGGGUGAACGGCGACAAGGGGACUGAGAUACGGCCCAGACGGCUACGGGAGGCAGUAGUGGGGAAUAUUGCAGAGUGGGCGGAAGCGUGAGGCAGCAACGUUGCGUGCGGGAUGACGGGUUUCGGGUUGUAAACAGAUUUCGAAGGUGACGUAGCGUGAGUGACGGUAAUGGGUAAAGAAGCCACGGCUAACUACGUG